CUACUGCAGUGCUAUCAAUAUAUUGUCCGGCCACUGCACACAGGUUCGCUGCGUGCGGACGGUAGGUCUUCUUCCAUCUUCUUGGGCUGCCUGAUUGCUUCGUGGUUUUGUAUUCUUCUUCUAUCAUUCGAGCAUACCUUGAAAAACAGCACUUCGAUGUAUGGUUGUUUAGGCUCCUCCGCGCGCCCUGAUCUAGAGUGGAGACGCAGAUCGAUCACCUCGAGGCUGCGUCAGGCUUCCGUACAGUGUAUGUUCUCGCCAGAUGAUCUCGACUGACAGCAACUUCAUGAUUCGACGGUAAAAAAUCAAUCUCAGAACAACAUUCAUGUGUUACUACCUAUGUGCGUGAACAUCAACUUGUCAUUAUGGACUGCCUUAGAAACAUGUGUCUGUGUGCGCCUAGUGUCACAUCCUUGUCUACUUGUAAUUUAUUAGAGUUGGUUACGCAGGCAUGCAUCAUGCUUAAAUAUCUUUAAUCUUCAAUUGAGAGAAUUAGCAAAGCCUUAAAAUUUGUUUAAUAGGGUUCAAACCCAAUUUUUUUUGGAGUUUUAAGACGAUUUAUUUUGGGCCUUGGAUUAAGUCAAUAAUGUAUUUGGUUUGAAUUUAUAUUCUUUAUAAAAUAAAUAUAAAUCUAGAAAUUCUGAAAUAUGGUGUGUAACUUUGGACACAUCCAUAUUAACUACUGCACAUAUCAGAAUUUCUAGACUUCUCCAUAUGGAGUACACACAACUUUUUUAGAAGGGUAAAAAUGAUUUGACGUUCAAAUCAAAUCAAACAGAUUGAAAAAAUUUAGAAAAAAAAACAAAGAAAGGAUGGCUAAGAGAGAGAAGACUCCCCCCAGCCGUCCUAGCACUGCGCGGCCCAGCUGCCAGUCGUCUUCAUAAAAAGAGCAACUGCCAUGUUCAAUUUUGCAUUUCAGAACAACUACUAUGUUUUGACUAAGUUUCGAUGAAGUUUUAAAUUUACCCUAGUUUUUAUAUGCAUGAAUGCAAUGCACAAACGGAAAAAGUAUUCCACUCUCUCUCUAGAUAAGGUCCCGCGCGAAGCAGUUGUCACGAUCCUAGUUUAGCAUUGCACUUGGGCUAGUCUUGCAUGUGCAUCAUGUUUAAAUUUUCCUCUAAAUAUGAAAUGGGGAUCCAACAAACCCUAUCACCACUUUGAAAUACUAGGAUCAACUAAAAAUAUUUUCAAUGAACCCAAAAUGCCCUUCAUAAUAGUUCAUCAUUUUUGAAAAGGGUAAAAACCUCUGCCAAAAAUGAUGCACAUUUUUCUAGGUCAUUUCUGGAUUUUUAAAUUAAGCCAUAAAGUAGUAGAAUCGGGGUAUUUAAUUACUAUAAAUAUUUUAAAUGCUCUAAUAAUUCUAGGGCUUUUGAAUAAUCCAAAUAGUGCCCACAAAUAUUUUCAGCAGUUUUGGAAAUGAUUUAAUAUUUUUACUAAGUAAAAAAACAGAAAAAGAAAAUUAGAAAAUAGAAAGAAAUAAAAGAGAGAGAGGAAGUUACCUGGGCCACUUGAGCCGGCCUAGCCCAGCUGGCCGUGCCAGUCGUCGUCUCCACCGCGCCAGAAGGAUGCAGGCACGCCCUCACGCUCGGCGCGCCACGCCACCAGCCUGCAUGCGUCCCCCAAGCCAGCGCGACGACGUGAAGGAUCUCCCCGCUAUCGUCCUGAUCGAGUCGACCGCCCAUUUGCCUGUCUUGCUCUCUUCUGAUCCUGAUUGCAUGUAGAAUUACCAAGAUAAACUGGCCGAAUUGAGUAUAUGAAUGCUUUAGCUAUAUAUAAAGAAAUUGACUGUGGAAGGAAACGUAAGAAUCUUUUUACUUCUCUUUUCGUGUCAUUCUAUCUAAGACACCCUCUUAUUUUCUAGGGGAUUAAGAAUUAGGCUUUUCAUCUAUCUAAUUGGAUCACGUGUUACUAAUCCAUAGACUUAUAUAAAUGGUUGAUUCGAGUCUCAAUUCAGUUUCAAGUACUUUUGGUGUAUUAAACAAUUGGUAUCGAAACCUUGAUAUUAUGAUGUUGAGUGGUUAUGCUAGUAUCUUUGCAUGAUGUUUCAAAAUCUUUUUUGAUCAUUUUCAGCCGUUAUGCUGCCCGAUUUGUUUUAGAAAUUCUAAUGCCUUUGCAGUAUCCUCUAUUUCAGAUGGCUUCUCGCUCUCCUCAUCAGGUUGUCCCGCCUGACCAGGUGCAUUGAUGUACCAGGUCAUACGUCUAUGCUGGUUUCUGCUAUGCUUGAGACCGGUUAUCGCUGGUACCCUAAGUACACUAUGGAGGUGCAAUACCGGGACAUUAACCAGAGUCGGUAUGUUUUCACUGUCAGGAUUUAUCCUUCGUACCCUGAAGCCACAGAGCAUAUUCACUAGUCUUAUGGACUGGGGGUCAAUAUAUAUACUAGAGGAUCAGGCGCGCUUUGCCGGGCCAGGUGAAGAGCUUCGUUUGUGUCACAACCCUAGUUAGUGUUGCAUUAGAGUGAUGCAUCAUGUCUAAAUUUUUCCCAGAAACCUGAAAUGGGGAUGAACUAACCCCCCAGCACCACCUAAACCAACUAGGGUUACUAAAUAAUUUUCUCAAUGAACCUGAAAUGCCCUUCAAAAAUGUCCAUCAAUUUUGUCUUGCUUUGGAACCUUUGCCAAAAUUGGUUCACAUUUUUCUAGGACACCUAAGGUUACUGAAUUAAAUCAUAUGCUAUUUGUAAUUGGGCAUUUAAAUGCUAUAUAUUAUUAUCUUAAGUGCUCAAUUAAUUCUGAACUUAAGUGAGGGCUGUUAGGAAUAAACCUAAUAGAGCCCACAAUUAUUUUCAGGAUAUUUGAAAACGUUUUAGUAUUUUUAAUAAAGCCAAAAACAUUGCAGAAAGUAGAAAACUGGAAUAAAUAGAAGAGAGAGAGAGAAAAGGCCAGAGGCCACUUACCUGGCUGGCCCAGCCCAUCUGGCCCGUGCCAGUCAUCACGUACCUCUGCUAGUAGGUAGAGUAGGGACACCGCGAUGCCGCCGAGCUCGCCACGCCACCUCCCUGCCUGCCCUCGCCCGCGCCGGCGCGACGCCUCGAAACGCCUCCUCGGCGCCGCCCCGAGCCCCUGGACACCUCACUUUCCCCCAGCUCUCCCCCUUGCCUCUCCUCGCCAUGGCCGAAGCUGCCGCGCUCGCGCCGACGUGAAACCUGUAGCCACCGUCGCCCCCUCGUCGCCUCGCCGUGUCCAAGAUCUUCCCCGUCGUCCGUCUCAUCGAGCAGGCCGAGCCCAAAGCCCUUGCAUGCCUUGCAUCGCCUCCACCGACCCUGUCUUCACCGCCCGUCGCCAGAGAUCCACUUCGCCGCCCUGCUUGCUCCGGCUUGUCCCCGACUCCGCUGACCCGUUCGUCUGACUCGCCGUGAGCUUCUGCCUCUCCUCCCCCUUUCCAUUAUCGCUGCCGCACGCCGUAGCCGCCGCGUUGCUAUCACCCGCACGCGCCGCCGCCUGCUCUCGUCGCCGACGUGCCCCCAGCCAUCUAAUGGACCGGCCGUAGUGCCCAACCUGCUCGCCGUGCUGUGUAGAGCCUGUAGGUGCCACGCCGGCGCCGCUACGACCACUGCAACCGCGUUGCUGCGCGCACCCGAAUGCCGGCCGCCGCCUCGAGCUCGUUUCCGACGAGCUUCGGCCGCCCUAGCUGCUGCUGCUUGCUGCAACGGGCGCGGGUGAGCUCCAGCUCCCCGUAGCCGCUCUCCGCUGGCCAUUCGGUCGCCGGAGCAGCGAGCCCGAGCCCUCCGCCGCGUCUGCUGCCGGCGGCGGCUAAACGCCAGUGGUUAGCCCCGGUUUAACCAGGGGUUUGACCUUCCCUAGGUCAAUGACAGGUAGGGCCCAGCCCCGCUAAUUAACCUAGGUUAGGGUUAACUAAAUUUAGUUAGUUUAAUUAACCACUGACACGCGGGACCCACUGGUCAGUUUGACUUGGACCGGCCCCGUUGACUGGUGACGUCCCAGUGAUGCAAUGCUGACGCAGUAACUCAUUUUCUGGAUUUAUUCUUAUUCAGGAAAUUCCAAAAAAUAGUGCUAACUUCUAAAAAUCAUAGAAAAUAAUCUGUAGCUCCAAAAUGCAAAGUGUUAUAUAUGAAAAAUGACUAGAAAAAUCCAAUCUAUCCAUCUGUACUGGUUUCAUGCAUGUUUAAACAAGUUAACUUGCUGUUUAGUGCAAAACAUGAUAAAACACUACUUUAAGAUCACAAAUGAGUUUGAACUUUGAAUCUUUGGUUCAAAAUGGCUCAAACCCAUCUGGUUGUAGAUGCAUUAGUCCAACACACUCAUUUUGCCAUGUCACAUGCAUGCAUCAUAUUGUUGCAUAUUGUUUGAUAUUGAUUGUGUUGCCGGUGCUCUCUGCGGUAGGUUCUGUCCCGGAGGAUUACCGUGAGUACCCAAGCGAAGGACAAUACCAGUCUGCCGAUCUGCCAGGCAAGCAACCCCAUUGAUCAUAUCGAUACAAUCCCAUGUUCUCGGUCCUGCUCUCAUUUACUGCAUUUAAGACAACAACGUUUCAAACUGUUGUGUGCUGCGGUAGUUGAACCCAUUUCCUCUGCAUGACCUGUCAUUGCCAUAGCAAUUGGAUGAAACCCACUAGCAUGUGUAGGAGUUGAUUGAGCCAUGUCUGUGUUUCCUACCUUGCUAGGCCUGCUAUGCUUCGAGUUGUGUCAGGUCUGGUUCAUCUGGGCGAUGGGCUAGAGUGAAAUGAUUAUGUCUGUAAUGUGAGUGAUGUGUUGAACACGAUUUGGUAAAGGUAUCGAUGAGAGGCCACGUAGGAGUACAUGGUGGGUUGUUUCAUCGGAACCGUCCUUAAGCACCGAGAUCUGUAUGUGUGAUUUAAGAACCAGCUACUACCAUGCAUUGGGCCCGAAACCAAUGGACCCUCUCGGCUUCUUAACCACCCUAGUCCUCUGUCCAGGAGUUGCAACUAGUUUCUAGUGUUUAUAGGAUAUGUGUUGGAGGCCGUGCGUAGCGCUGACCCUAUGGGUGGGCUAUGAUGCGACAGAUACACCGUGGCCGGGUAUGCCGGGCGCCCGUUUGGUGUCUCGAAACCCUGUACACAUCGUUCGGGGCCGUAUGUGGAAACCUCGGCCGGACUCCCUGCGGAUGGAACCUGGAUAGACGAUAAACCUGGACUAGACACUUGAGUGUUUAGGUAGGCCGUGGCCGACACCCUCGUUGGGCUUCUGCUUGAAGGUUGCCGAGUACAUGUCGUGUAAACGGUGGUAAGUGGUGAGAGCGUGUGUGAAGAAGUACAUCCCUGCAGGGUUAACAUCAGCUAUUCGAAUAGCCGCGUCCGCGGUAAAGGACUACUUGGUUGCCUAUACAGUUCAUAGAGACAAGUAAAUGGAUACUCCUAAAAGCCUCAAGACAAGUGUGAGUGCCUUGGAUGGCCCUUUCGUAGGAUGACGGAGGAGGAUCCGCGGUAGUGUAUUGUUGUGGUGAGUAGUGGACUCGUGUGCGCAAAACAUUUACAAGUUGCUGUCUCGCAGGAUAGUUUAGCCAGGAGUCAAAGCUGGCUUGCUGCAAUAAACUCCACUACCCUUUGUUGACAAUGUGCAUGUAUGUAGGAUCUGAUGUAAGUCUUGUUGAGUACCUUUGUACUCAUGUUUUCUUAGUUACUGUUGCAGAAGAGAACACCGCCCCCUCCGAUGGGUUCUAUGUAGAUCUCGACGUUGACGAGUGACUUGCCACCCAGGUGGUGAUCCUGAGUCGUGAAGGGCCUUGUAGAUAGACAGGCUUCGUCAAGCCUUCUUUCUUUCUAGUUGUCUGUACCCAGGCAAGUUUGCUUCCGCAUGUCCUUUUCUGUUUGUAUGACUUGAGUGUUGGGUCGUGUGACCCCUACCUGUAUUAACAUAUUAUGUAUGGCUCUCUGGAGCCUUCUAAAUAAAGUACUUGAGUUGUAGAGUUUUGUUGUGAUGCCAUGUUGUAUUUGCACAUAUCGAGUGUCGGAGUAAUUGGACACGGGUAUCCCGAAGACGGCGAGACAAUAUUUCAAGACAUCGGGGCUAGCAAAGCCCCUCAGUCCGACUGCCCGGCCGCUCCUGCCGGCUCCCCGUCCGACUGCUCCACCCGGCCGGCUGCCAGCUGACCGACUGCAUCGACUAGCCGGCUGCCGACUGAAGUCCGACCCGGCAUCGACAAGACACCGACGAGACGGUCGUACCCGAGCACUAUUCACCUGUCAUUCCCGCCAUCAUGUAUAGUGUCACUUGUCCCCUGGCACUAUUCAUGAAGUGACCUAGGGGACAAGCAUGACAUGCACCAUGCCUUGCUCCCAUACCUCCACAUAGCUUAGAUACAAAGCUACCCUCUCCUAUAAAAGGAGACACACCUCCAUCCAUCCAGGGAUGGACUCACGUACACACUCACACAAGCAAGCUAGCUAGCAAGAGAGCUAGCUAGCCAUCCAUCCAUUCCCACGGGCUAGCUUGCCCAAGCACACAUACGGCCAUGCUCAUGGCCGGCCACUAGAGCAUGCUUUGUGCAUGCAUAUAUGGGGCCAGAUGCCCAUGGCACUGCCCCAGAUACAGCUCUAGGAGCACUUUGUACUGCCCGAUGUACACCCCAGAUAUAUAUGCUCAGACAUGCAGGAGUAGGGGUAUUAUCUCUCCGGAGAGCCCCGAACCUGGGUAAACUAGCGCGUGCUACUCGCAUACCCGCUCCCGGUCCUAUCAGCAGCAGUCUUACCCUCACAUAAAGCCCUUGUGGCAUCUGUCGACUCACACCCCCCGUGAGAAUACCACGACAGUUGGCGCCCACCGUGGGUCGGUACUAUCUAUGCUACCACGGUGCUGCUGGUUUUGCAGUCCGGGCGGGACCAUCUUCGCC
Molecule: long non-coding RNA, 6809 nt
Filed under: Triticum aestivum (bread wheat)
Lineage: Eukaryota; Viridiplantae; Streptophyta; Magnoliopsida; Poales; Poaceae
Description: long non-coding RNA (TAES_LNC018607)
Source: RNAcentral